GUGGGGAAUCUUGGACAAUGGGCGAAAGCCUGAUCCAGCGACGCCGCGUGGGUGAUGAAGGCCUUCGGGUCGUAAAGCCCUGUGGGCAGGAAAGAAAACGUUGCAGUCGAACAGGCUGCGACCUUGACGGUACCUGCUCAGAAAGCACCGGCUAACUCUGUGCCAGCAGCCGCGGUAAGACAGAGGGUGCGAACGUUGCUCGGAAUUACUGGGCGUAAAGCGCGUGUAGGCCGAUUCGUGUGUCGGGUGUGAAAUCCCUGGGCUCAACCCAGGAACUGCACUCGAAACUGCGAGUCUAGAGUGGUGGAGAGGGUAGUGGAAUUCCUGGUGUAGAGGUGAAAUUCGUAGAUAUCAGGAGGAACACCGGUGGCGAAGGCGGCUACCUGGACACCAACUGACGCUGAGACGCGAAAGCGUGGGGAGCAAACAGGAUUAGAUACCCGGGUAGUCC
Molecule: ribosomal RNA, 451 nt
Filed under: uncultured bacterium
Lineage: Bacteria
Description: bacterial SSU rRNA
Rfam family: Bacterial small subunit ribosomal RNA
Source: RNAcentral